RNAcentral lists this ribosomal RNA (627 nucleotides) under Photobacterium sp. MR08-82. RNAcentral's name for it is "bacterial SSU rRNA". It matches the Rfam family "Bacterial small subunit ribosomal RNA", at positions 85 to 708 of the family's 1533-position model. Lineage: Bacteria; Pseudomonadati; Pseudomonadota; Gammaproteobacteria; Vibrionales; Vibrionaceae. The record is from RNAcentral.
UGGGCGGCGAGCGGCGGACGGGUGAGUAAUGCCUGGGAAUAUGCCCUGAUGUGGGGGAUAACCAUUGGAAACGAUGGCUAAUACCGCAUAAUCUCUUCGGAGCAAAGAGGGGGACCUUCGGGCCUCUCGCGUCAGGAUUAGCCCAGGUGGGAUUAGCUAGUUGGUGAGGUAAAGGCUCACCAAGGCGACGAUCCCUAGCUGGUCUGAGAGGAUGAUCAGCCACACUGGAACUGAGACACGGUCCAGACUCCUACGGGAGGCAGCAGUGGGGAAUAUUGCACAAUGGGGGAAACCCUGAUGCAGCCAUGCCGCGUGUAUGAAGAAGGCCUUCGGGUUGUAAAGUACUUUCAGCAGUGAGGAAGGUGGUGUCGUUAAUAGCGNCAUUGCUUGACGUUAGCUGCAGAAGAAGCACCGGCUAACUCCGUGCCAGCAGCCGCGGUAAUACGGAGGGUGCGAGCGUUAAUCGGAAUUACUGGGCGUAAAGCGCAUGCAGGCGGUCUGUUAAGCAAGAUGUGANAGCCCGGGGCUNANNCUCGGAACUGCAUUUUGAACUGGCAGACUAGAGUCUUGUAGAGGGGGGUAGAAUUUCAGGUGUAGCGGUGAAAUGCGUAGAGAUCUGAAGGAAUA